GACGAACGCUGGCGGCGUGCUUAACACAUGCAAGUCGAACGGAAAGGCCCUGCUUUUGUGGGGUGCUCGAGUGGCGAAUGGGUGAGUAACACGUGAGUAACCUGCCCUUGACUUUGGGAUAACUUCAGGAAACUGGGGCUAAUACCGGAUAGGAGCUCCUGCUGCAUGGUGGGGGUUGGAAAGUUUCGGCGGUUGGGGAUGGACUCGCGGCUUAUCAGCUUGUAGGUGGGGUAGUGGCUUACCAAGGCUUUGACGGGUAGCCGGCCUGAGAGGGUGACCGGCCACAUUGGGACUGAGAUACGGCCCAGACUCCUACGGGAGGCAGCAGUGGGGAAUAUUGCACAAUGGGCGGAAGCCUGAUGCAGCAACGCCGCGUGCGGGAUGACGGCCUUCGGGUUGUAAACCGCUUUCGCCUGUGACGAAGCGUGAGUGACGGUAAUGGGUAAAGAAGCACCGGCUAACUACGUG
This 468-nucleotide ribosomal RNA is filed under the name uncultured bacterium. RNAcentral's name for it is "partial 16S ribosomal RNA". It matches the Rfam family "Bacterial small subunit ribosomal RNA", at positions 28 to 507 of the family's 1533-position model. The record is from RNAcentral.